GCCUUUUUACAAAAACAUGUCUUUAUGGAGAUUUAUAAAGUCUGACCUGCCCAUUGGGAACUAAAAGGCCGCGGUAUUAUGACCGUGCAAAGGUAGCAUAAUCAUUAGUUUUUUAAUUGAAGGCUAGAAUGAAUGGUUGGACAAGAAAUAAUCUGUCUUAAUUAAAUAUAUUGAAUUUAACUUUUAAGUGAAAAGGCUUAAAUAAUCUGAAGGGACGAUAAGACCCUAUAAAACUUUAUAUUUGAAAAUAGUAGUUAAUUUUAUUUAAUAAAGUAUUAUUUAAAAGUAUUUGGUUGGGGUGACAAGGAUAGAAUAUAAAAUAACUGUCUUUUUUUUUUUACAAUAAUAUUUGUUUUAAUGAUCCUGAAAUGGAUUAAAGAUUAAGUUACUUUAGGGAUAACAGCGUAAUUUUCUUUAAGAGUUCUUAUCGACAGGAAAGUUUGCGACCUCGAUGUUGAAUUAAAAGUUCUUUAUAGAGUAGAGACUAUAAUAGAAGGUCUGUUCGACCUUUAAAAUUUUACAUGAUUUGAGUUCARACCGGUGUGAGCCAGGUUGUUUUCUAU
This 563-nucleotide ribosomal RNA is filed under the name Hobbseus prominens. Its description in RNAcentral is "partial small subunit ribosomal RNA". It matches the Rfam family "Bacterial large subunit ribosomal RNA", at positions 1798 to 2641 of the family's 2925-position model. Lineage: Eukaryota; Metazoa; Arthropoda; Malacostraca; Decapoda; Cambaridae. The record is from RNAcentral.